RNAcentral lists this ribosomal RNA (425 nucleotides) under uncultured prokaryote. RNAcentral's name for it is "bacterial SSU rRNA". It matches the Rfam family "Bacterial small subunit ribosomal RNA", at positions 355 to 776 of the family's 1533-position model. RNAcentral also lists the same sequence under 1 other name. The record is from RNAcentral.
UGAGGAAUCUUGGUCAAUGGACGCAAGUCUGAACCAGCCAUGUCGCGUGAAGGAGGACGGCCCUAAGGGUUGUAAACUUCUUUUGCAGCGGAAUAAAGUUUGCCACGAGUUGGCGAUUUGCAAGUACGCUGCGAAUAAGGAUCGGCUAACUCCGUGCCAGCAGCCGCGGUAAUACGGAGGAUCCGGGCGUUAUCCGGAUUUAUUGGGUUUAAAGGGUGCGCAGGCGGGGAUUUAGGUCGGCGGUGAAAUUUCGGGGCUCAACCUCGACAGUGCCGUUGAAACCGUUUCUCUUGAGUGCGGAUGAGGUAGGCGGAAUUUGUGGUGUAGCGGUGAAAUGCGUAGAUAUCACAAGGAACACCGAUUGCGGAGGCAGCUUACUAAACCGUUACUGACGCUCAUGCACGAAGGCGUGGGGAUCAAACAGG